UCCUUUCCCUCCUUCUUCUUCCUCGCGCGACAGCACCCUCCUCCCUCUCCUUUCGAUCUCCGACCACCACUCGACCAAAACGGAGUGGCGAUCGGUUCGUCCGACGCCAGUGGUCUCAAUCCCAGCCUCCCUUCACGUUGAACGGACCUGCAGCGGCGCGGAUGGAGCUUUCUCCCACGCGACUGUCUCCUCUUCCAUCUUUGGCGAUCCACACCAUUUCCGGCGGCCCCAGCGGAGGAAGCGGGUAUUAAUCGACUCUCUACCACGCUGUGAGUGAAUUUCCUCUAACAAUUUGUGGAUUUAUCGAUGUUUUGAGGAGCAACCUUGCGUGGAGGAGAUGCAGCGGCUGUCGAGCCCGAUCCGGCCAAUCAAGGACCGACCUCACUAAAUUAACGCCAAAAACGGACUCCUUGGUGAAUUUUGAGUUGAAUGAUGUGAUCGUUGCAAAUUUCUGGGAAAGGAUGAUUUUCUGGCCACCGUACACGGCGGUCGGCGGCAGCGGUCCGGUGACCGGUCGGCGACACUCCGGCGAGGCCCCGAGAGACAGAAUGCUCUUCUCUUCGCGCUGAUCGUGGAAUCGUCGCCCGAUUCUCGAUUGAUCUUCUACGAUGCGUCUCCAGAUCUUCUAGGAAAUCCUCAACAUAAAAGAUUGUACUCUUCUCCAAAACAGCAGCAUUCAUUAAAAAGUAUCCAAGGCAAUUUACCACUUCUACGUUCCUGCUAAAGUUGCAGAUCUGAAGGACUGGAGCGAUGAUUCUAUCUUCUUCAACUAUGCUGAUAAGGAUCAAAUCUCUAAUUUAAAAAUUGUUAUCUUUUAUGUUUUCAACUCUUUAUUCGUCUCAAGAUAAAUUUUCACAAGAGCCAACUAUUUGGCAGUCAACAUCAAUGAGGAUGAACUGAAUUGCUAAGCCUCUUAUCUUCAAAUGCCAAUUUGGAAAAUUUGCAUCUGAGUAUCUAAGUACUCCGAUCAGAUGUAACCCCAGAUUGAUCAAGACUUGGCAGCCAGUCAUUCAAAAAUGGAAAACAAGCUCUCCUCUUGGAUGGGAGGUAAGAUAACUCUUAUAAAAUCUAUGCGUUCUUCUCUACCUCUCUAUUAGCUAUUUCAGGGCAGCAGAGGUGGUCAUCAAGAGGAUUGAAAGCAUUCAGAGGCGAUUCCUUUGGGGCAAAAGCAUUGAAGGAGAAAAAUCAUUGUGUUAGAUUGCUUGGAAACAACUGGAUUGAACAAAAGUGAGGUUGUGUUGGACUCCAUGAUUGUAAAAUGAAAAACUCAGCCUUACUUAGAAAGUGGUGGUGGAGGUCUAAAAUAGAAAGUGGGUUCUUAUGAAAAAAAAGGUCUGAGUCCAAACAUAGCAAGGAGGUAUUGACUAAUGAUGUUUCAGAAAGUAAUUUAUGGAGAAAAUUAUCCCUAUCCUGGAAAGACAUCAUUCAUCUUGGGUCACAAUCUUCUUCUUCUAUCGAUUUUUUAUCAAACGACUUUAGAUGGAUUGUUGGUGAUGUGGAAACAUUAAAUUCUGGAUUGAUAUCUCAUCAUAAAUUCAUUUUUUUUAAA
Molecule: long non-coding RNA, 1549 nt
Organism: Jatropha curcas
Lineage: Eukaryota; Viridiplantae; Streptophyta; Magnoliopsida; Malpighiales; Euphorbiaceae
Source: RefSeq, a predicted model, not a curated record